CCCACCUCAGCCUCCCAAAGUGCUGAGAUUACAGGCAUUAGCCACCACGCCUGGCCGGAAUCUCCAUCUUUAGCAGUCUAGCCAGAUGAUCCUAGUGCACACAAAAGCCUGAGGACAUGUGACCCUGAGCUAGGUAGGUCUCAACAAGCAACUACUGAGUGGAAAAUCCCCAGGUUGGGGUCCUGACCACUUCCUCCUCAGAGGUCAUGGAGCAGACGGCACCUGCAGUGUGUGCGUGGGUGGUGGUGGUGGGGGGGGGAGUUGGGAGGGGGACAUAAGAAUUUUCCCUUCCAAAAGAGGGGUGGGGAGCAUAGGGCUGGGGUGGGGUAUCCGGACUACACUCUGGAAGAGGGAUGACAGCUUCCUGAGUCAACGGAAACUUGGUAGCAAGAAAGCUGCAGAGGAGGCUGCCGGCAGUACAGGAUGCAGGGAGAACCCAGGCCUGGGGUUGAGGCCAGGAGACUCAAUUCCAGCUUUACUGUGUGCCUUUAGCAGGAAUGUCAUGGGUAGAAGCUGCUGGCGUGUCAUCUACAGCCUUGGAGGACAGGAUUGUGGCCAAGCAUGAGGAGGUUCCAGAAGUUUCAGUUCAGUAUGAAGAAAAAUUUCAGAACCAUCACAAACUGAUGAGGAAACUGAGGCAUGGAGAAGCCAAGCCACUCUUAAGGUCACUUAAUGGAUCUUCCAUGUAGUCAGGACUGAACCAGCAUCCAACCCAGAGCCCGGUGUGGUCGACCCACAAAUGUUUGCCAAGUUAGCCAUGCCCUUGUUGUCUACUGGUUGAUUUCAGAAUUACCCAAGCCUGCACCAGCCUCUUCCUUAUCAUUCACUUCUGUCACCUGGCUUGCUACAUGGAUGUGCUCAUGAAGGGCUGCUGAAUGACUGACCCACCAAGUACCUGUCACCUGAGGCCCAGCUUUGGCAGCUGUGCUGAGCCCCUUCUCAGAGGUCCUGCUUGGAACUAUGGAGCUAUAGCCACAGCCUUCGGGAAUGGAGAGUUCAGACAUCAUUCCUGGUACUCUGCAGUGUCACACAAAGGGGGUUGGCCACGAGAUGCCUCCUGCACCAGUCCCCACCCCCCCUCCGCUUCCUACCCUAUUGCCCAAGGGAGGCUGGUAACCUGUUGGGGAUAGGAAGGCCCCUCCUUACCACUGUGGCUGGCAACUCCCCAGAAGGCUUGUUUCCUUGACCCCUACCCACUCUGCCUGGCCUUCUCCUGAGUCCUCCUGGGGGAUGUGACCACAUUAGCCAUGGUCUUUGCCAAGAAGAAGGGUUUAGGCAGGACCACACGAUCCAGAUGGUUCCUCAGCACCCACCCCCAGCCUGCCAGGAACCCUAUUCAUUUAUUCCCAGCAUUUCAACUUGUCCCAAUAAGGCAGUGACCUAGUCCCAGGCCAGGCCUCUCAGGGUGGUCUAGAACAUCUAGUCGGCCAAGCCCAACAGGCACCAUAGACCACAGAACUCAGCAGACCCCCAGAUCCUUGAACCUGGAGGGACAUGAGAAGGCCUCAUGGUCAAGCUCCUGUCCCUAGCCAGGAUAAUCCUUUCUAAAAGUGCCUGCCUCAUUCCUUGCUGCCUGCCACCUCCAUUCUCCACAAAGAACCCCCUCACGCUGUGCUUUCAGUGGCUCAGCCUUUGCUUAGGCCUUGGCCAUGAGUGGGUAACUCCUGCCAUACCUUCCAAACCACCCUUCCUCAAAAACCCUUCCUGCAUCUCUCAAGGCUAGAUGUGAUGCUCCUACUGCUCCCUGGGCCAACCCCUAGCAUGGCUCUUAUUUGUCCCUCAUUCACUCAAAUAUCUACUUAAGCACCUGCUCCAUGAUCUGUAUAAGGCAAUGAGCACCAGAUGGGGAGUGCAGAAAGCCAGGCUCAACUGCACAGCUUUGCCACCAACUGGCUGUGUGACUUUGGACCCAUCGUUCCUCACUGAGCCUCAGUUUCCCCGGUAAAGUGGGAAAGAUUCUGCAGCUCAGCCUAACUUCCAGGGCUUCUGUGAGACUGGGCGGGAUGUGAAAGCAUGCUGUAAACACUCAGGGUGAGUCAUGGUUAUCAGAACCUAACCCCUCUGUAGCCUGAGCUCAUUUUUGUCCAUCCCAUCCCUGGAGUCCCCCUCUCUCCCAGGGGGCUGGUAGCCUGUUGGGGAUGAACUUGGGAGCUCAUGCCUUCCAAGGGGUUGGCACCUGGGUGAGAAAUUGGGCAGGAGCACAGCCUACAGGGAUGAGAACUUUAAACAAAAACAGCCCAUAAAUCUUGCCAUAUAGGGGCAGGGGCCUGGCAUGGCUGGGGCCAAGAAGGCAUGCCAGGCUGUUCUCUGAGGCAACAGGAGUAAAAGAUUUUACGCUAAAGUCAUCAAGAAGCCACUGGAAGCACAGCGGGAGGAGGUGGAGACAAAGAACACGGAGCUAGGGGACUAGAUACCUGGGUUCUGCUCUGUGUUGCUCUGUGACCUCAGUCAUGCUCCUUCCCUUUUCUAGGCCUUAACCUCCUAUCUGUAUAGUGGGUGCGUCAGCCCAGGUAGUACCCAAAGGCCCUUUCCAACUCAGACAGGCUGUGCCAGCUUUACUUGCCCUUCAGAGCUUUGGCUGUGCCAGGGACAGGCAGGAACAGCUGGUAAGUCUCUCAGAAGGAGCAGGAGCCAAAGAACCUGUGCUUACUGUGACCUCCUCUUCCAGCUUGUGGAAGGGUCAGGCUCUUCCCCGUUUCCUCCACCUCUAGGUAGAUGGAAUUCACCCUUGGUCCACUUUGCAAGCUACAAGGUUGACACAGGUGCAGAGAACACAGACUCUCAGAUGCUUAGGGAUCAUCCUGCUCAUCACUCCCCAUACAGGGAGAAACUGAGACCCAGGGAGACACAAGGGCUUGCUUGGGGUCACCCAGUAUGUUUAUGGCACCACCAGGACUUACACCCAGGGCUAAUGUCUGCCUACCACUUGCUCAGUUACAAGUCUCAGCCAAGGCUCAGGUCUCUCCGCCUUGUCAUCCCUGUCAGCCAGCCCCUUCCUUCUACUGAUAGAGCCAAGCCUCAGUUUCCCUGUUGGAGUGAGUAAAGACAUGAGGGUUUCUAGGUCAGGAGUUGGUGAGAAUUUCAAUCUGGUAAUAAAGGGAGAGCAAGGAAAGCCAGGAGGUGUCAGAGAAGGGAGUAGAAUCCUCCAGGCUAGGACUACUGUUAGGCAGAAAAACCUGUACUCAGGGCACAAGCAAAGCAGGAGCAGAGGGAGGACUAAAGUUCAUUGCAAAACUAUUAAACACUGUCACAGUUUGGGGCCUCUCAAGGUCUCAAGGGGGAAUGAUGAUAAAGUUUAAGGGAUCACCUAGUCCCACCUGGCUAGGGGGCAGGUAGUGGUAAGAAAAGGGGCCAGAAUUUGAGGGUCCUUCUUCCCCUCUGCCUCACAGUGUCCCCUGAGGAGGCUAUCUUUCUAGCUCCAGGCUCUGACCUUCUGGGCUCGUCAGACCCCAAGGGGCAGCUGGUCUCACUGCAAGAAACCUGAGAAUUGUCCCCUGGGCCCUGACCCAGCUCCAAGGCCCCUUGGGGGAAGGACAGGAAGGGAGGAGAGGGCCACAGAACGCAGUAGAUCUCCUCCCUCUUUGGCCCCUCCCAGCUACCCCAAGGGCAGCCCACACUCACCAGCUCUGGGGCCUGCAAGAGCCCUAAGACCAGCGCCUCAAACUUUAAAGCGUCAUCACCUGGGCAUAUUGUUAAAAGGCAGCUUCUGUCUUGGCAAGACUGGGCCUGAGCCUGAGAUUCUGCAUUUCUGACAGGUCCCCAGGGAUGCUGAUACUGCGAGUCUGUGGAACACUCUUCGAGCAGCCCUGAGAUUAUCAGCCUUUAACCCCCGGGGGGAGGAAGCCGAAGGCCCAGAGAGGUCAAGUCACUUGUCCAUGGCCACACAGCGAACAGCCCCAGACCGAAAGCAGAGGGCACCUGCCACAGACACACGACAUCUCCCCACCCGAGGCAGCGGGAAUCAGCUGCCUUUCCCUGGCCCGGGUGCCGUGUUUGUAAACUCGGCUGCUUGGUGCGGCUCGGGCCGGGGUAAAGGGCGCCUCCCAGCAGAGCCUCCCUCGUCUCUGAGCUGGCCUCUCCAGGUUCUCCGUCCGGUAUCCCGGGCCGACCAGAGAGAGCCCGGGGCGCCGAGUCCUCUGCGGCGGAGCGAUUCCGCACUCCCCUCUCCUCUGAAAGCAAACUUCUCCGCCGGCGCC
This 4196-nucleotide long non-coding RNA is filed under the name Homo sapiens (human). Its description in RNAcentral is "HSALNT0330258". The record is from RNAcentral. Lineage: Eukaryota; Metazoa; Chordata; Mammalia; Primates; Hominidae.